UGGUGGAGUGAUUUGUCUGGUUAAUUCCGUUAACGAACGAGACCUCGACCUGCUAAAUAGUUUGGCGAAUUCCCUGUGGAUUCGCACAUAACUUCUCAGAGGGACUAUCGGUUCGCAGCCGGUGGAAGUUCGAGGCAAUAACA
This 143-nucleotide ribosomal RNA is filed under the name uncultured eukaryote. Its description in RNAcentral is "partial 18S ribosomal RNA". It matches the Rfam family "Eukaryotic small subunit ribosomal RNA", at positions 1299 to 1458 of the family's 1831-position model. The record is from RNAcentral.